RNAcentral lists this ribosomal RNA (245 nucleotides) under uncultured bacterium. RNAcentral describes it as "partial 16S ribosomal RNA". It matches the Rfam family "Bacterial small subunit ribosomal RNA", at positions 524 to 768 of the family's 1533-position model. The record is from RNAcentral.
GACAGAGGUGGCAAGCGUUGUUCGGAAUCACUGGGCUUAAAGCGCGUGUAGGCGGCUCCGAAAGUGUCGUGUGAAAUCCCAGGGCUCAACCCUGGAACUGCGCGGCAAACUCCGGAGCUUGAGGCUGGUAGAGGUGCCUGGAACUCUCGGUGGAGCGGUGAAAUGCGUAGAUAUCGAGAGGAACGCCGGAGGCGAAAGCGGGGCACUGGGCCGGUUCUGACGCUGAGACGCGAAAGCGUGGGGAG